AAUAACACUCCAUUGUUCACUCAUCGAAUAACAGGAAAUAUAGUCGGCGGGAGUGGAGGACGAGAGAAAGGUGAACAAAGUGAAGGAGAAGGGAAGAUGUCCAGGCAAGGACCCCUCUGCCUGCUCACCUGCAUGGCAGCCAUGGCUGUCUCUUCAAUGGCUUUCAACAUCGAUGAAGCAAACCCAAAACUCUACAAAGGGGAGAAACAGGAUUUCUUUGGAUACAAAGUCCUGCAAUUCAUAUCUGGCAAGGAGAAAGGGGUAAUGGUCAGUGCGCCAUAUCAGAAGAAUGGAUCUGGUGGAAUCUGUAGAUGUGCUCAAGACCGAACAAACUGUACAGACUGUUACACUCCUCAAGAAACUGACACAAUCAAGUACAUUGGACUGUCUAUGGUUGCACAAUCUACUUCUCCUCCAACGUUCACUGUAAGAUAAACCACCA
This is a long non-coding RNA of Oncorhynchus masou masou (cherry salmon), 442 nucleotides long. RefSeq lists it as uncharacterized. The transcript is spliced from 5 exons. NCBI's taxonomy places the organism in Eukaryota, Metazoa, Chordata, Actinopteri, Salmoniformes, Salmonidae. The record is from RefSeq and is a predicted model, not a curated record.